CCUACGGGAGGCAGCAGUAGGGAAUCUUCCACAAUGGGCGAAAGCCUGAUGGAGCAACGCCGCGUGAGUGAUGAAGGCCUUCGGGUUGUAAAACUCUGUCAUUCGGGACGAACCGGAGUCUGAGGAAAUGCAGACUCUCUGACGGUACCGGAGGAGGAAGCCCCGGCUAACUACGUGCCAGCAGCCGCGGUAAUACGUAGGGGGCAGGCGUUGUCCGGAUUCACUGGGCGUAAAGCGCGCGCAGGCGGUGAUGUAAGUCUGAGGUGAAAACCCGAAGCUCAACUUCGGGACUGCCUUGGAUACUGCGUCACUUGAGGAUAGGAGAGGCAAGGGGAAUUCCACGUGUAGCGGUGAAAUGCGUAGAGAUGUGGAGGAACACCUGUGGCGAAGGCGCCUUGCUGGCCUAUUUCUGACGCUGAGGCGCGAAAGCGUGGGGAGCAAACAGGAUUAGAUACCCUGGUAGUCCACGCUGUAAACGAUGAGUGCUAGGUGUAGGUGGGCUCAUACCCAUCUGUGCCGAAGCUAACGCAUUAAGCACUCCGCCUGGGGGUACGGUCGCGAGACUGAAACUUAAAUGAAUUGACGG
RNAcentral lists this ribosomal RNA (586 nucleotides) under uncultured bacterium. RNAcentral describes it as "bacterial SSU rRNA". It matches the Rfam family "Bacterial small subunit ribosomal RNA", at positions 338 to 916 of the family's 1533-position model. The record is from RNAcentral.